UUGCUCUCCAAUACCGCCCUGAACGCGCCCCAUCUCGUCUGAUCUCAGAAGCUAAGCAGGGUCGGGCCUGGCUAGUCCUGGGCUGGUAGGCACU
This 94-nucleotide ribosomal RNA is filed under the name Dasypus novemcinctus (nine-banded armadillo). The record is from RNAcentral. Lineage: Eukaryota; Metazoa; Chordata; Mammalia; Cingulata; Dasypodidae.